CAGGCAUUGACAUCAUUUAAGAAGUUACAUCCUGGACAUCGCAAAGAAGAGAUAGAAACUUGCAUCAGAAAAGCUGCUUCUUUCAUUGAGAGCAUACAAACGCCUGAUGGUUCCUGGUAUGGAUCUUGGGCUGUAUGCUUCACCCACGGCAUAUGGUUUGGGGUCAAGGGACUGCUAACUGCCGGGAGAACCUAUCAGAGUAGCUCUGCCGUCCGUAAAGCAUGCAAUUUUCUAUUGUCAAAACAACUACCUUCUGGUGGUUGGGGAGAAAGCUAUCUUUCAUGUCAAAAUAAGG
RNAcentral lists this unclassified non-coding RNA (295 nucleotides) under Hevea brasiliensis (rubber tree). Lineage: Eukaryota; Viridiplantae; Streptophyta; Magnoliopsida; Malpighiales; Euphorbiaceae. The record is from RNAcentral.